Molecule: ribosomal RNA, 497 nt
Filed under: uncultured bacterium
Lineage: Bacteria
Description: partial 16S ribosomal RNA
Rfam family: Bacterial small subunit ribosomal RNA
Source: RNAcentral
GAUGAACGCUGGCGGCGUGCCUAAUACAUGCAAGUCGAGCGAACAGACGAGGAGCUUGCUCCUCUGACGUUAGCGGCGGACGGGUGAGUCACACGUGGAUAACCUACCUAUAAGACUGGGAUAACUUCGGGAAACCGGAGCUAAUCCCGGAUAAUAUAUUGCACCGCAUUGUUCAAUAGUAAAAGUCGGUUUUGCUGUCACUUAUAGCUGGAUCAGCGCCGCAUUAGCUGGUUGGUAAGGUAACGGCUUACCAAGGCAACGAUGCGUAGCCGACCUGAGAGGGGGAUCGGCCACAUGGGAAGGGAGACAGGGUCAAGACGCCUACGGGAGGGAGCAGUAGGGAAUCUUCCGCAAUGGGCGAAAGCCUGACGGAGCAACGGCGCGUGAGUGAUGAAGGUGUUCGGAUCGGAAAACUCUGUUAUGAGGGAAGAACAAAUGUGUAAGUAACUAUGCACGUCGUGACGGUACCGAAUCAGAAAGCCACGGCUAACUACGUG